UUAGACUGUCUAACGUCGCAGUCUAUGAGAUUUGGGUGAUCUCUAGUAAACUUAUGAAGAGACCUUGGAGUACGACGUAUAUGCUCCACCCGAGAAGGGGACUACUGGUAGCCAAGUACUGGUCAUGACUUCAAGUGAAACCCAUUCACGCAAAACUUGCAAUUCAAGGCAUAGUCCAUUGUCCAAGUUGUGGGUUGGUGUAACUUGGAGUUCUAGGCGGAAGUUCAACUUAACAGUCUCUGCUGAAAAACUAGUAUAUUAAACAGUAGUGAACAGUGGCGAAAACUGCAGAUGGGCAUUUGAGAUCUGGUGGGGGAUUGUUAGGAUUUAUGGGCUUGGCCCAAUUAAGAAUUUCUAAUAAAUCCCAGGAAAAUCUCAAAAGCCCAUAUAAGUGGAUGGCAAAGGGAUAGGUGAAACCAAUAGCACCAUAUUGCUAGCUCUAGUGGAGUAGAGCUAGCUUAAAUAUGGAAGCCACACUCACUCACCAAGUCAUGGAUGAGAGGAGAGUGUGUGGAGAGCCACA
This 523-nucleotide long non-coding RNA is filed under the name Zea mays. RNAcentral describes it as "drought responsive lncRNA". The record is from RNAcentral. Lineage: Eukaryota; Viridiplantae; Streptophyta; Magnoliopsida; Poales; Poaceae.